This is an RNA transcript of Lemur catta (Ring-tailed lemur), 1257 nucleotides long. It is a transcript of the gene named cleavage and polyadenylation specificity factor subunit 6-like, with no coding region annotated. NCBI's taxonomy places the organism in Eukaryota, Metazoa, Chordata, Mammalia, Primates, Lemuridae. The transcript has 2 exons. The record is from RefSeq and is a predicted model, not a curated record.
AUGAUAACCUGUUUUUAUGUAGAGGCAGAAAACAGCAAAAAUAAAAAUGUACGAGCAGACCUCUGUUCUUCAAAAAAGUUAAUGGAUCUGUUGCCUAAAAGAGAACUUCAUGGUCAGAAUCCUGUUGUAACUCCAUGCAAUAAACAGUUCCUGAGUCAAUUUGAAAUGCAGUCCAGGAAAACUACACAGUCAGGACAAAUGUCUGGGGAAGGUAAAGCUGGUCCUCCAGGAUGCAGUUCAUGUGCAGCAUUUCCACAAGGUGGUAGAGGACAGGGCUUUUUCUAGGGACUGUUCCCGGUGGGGACAGAUUUCUACAGCCAGCAGGACUAGGCGGGCUACCCCUACCUUUUCCAGCUGGACAGGCUACACCACAUCCACCCUUAGGUCCACCAGGUCCUCUACCUCCUGGUCAGGUUCUGCUUCCUCCUCUGGCUGGGCCUCCUAAUGGAGGAGAUCACCCUCUACCACCAGUUCUUUUUCCUGGACAACUUUUGAGCAGCCCCUGUUGGGUCCACUUUCUCCUGGCCCUCCACCUCUAGUUCCAGGCUAUGGCUCUCCUCCUGGUCCACCACCUCCACAAUAGGGACCAUCUUCACCUCCAGGCCCUUUUCCACCUUGCCCACCUGGUCCAGUUGGGCCACUCGUUACACUUUCUUCUCCUCCGCAUCUUCCUGGACCACCUCCAGGUGCCCCAUGGCCAGCUCCACAUGUGAACCCAGCUUUCUUUCUUCCAUCAACUAAUACUGGCAUGCCAACAUCAGAUAGCUGAGCUCCACCACCAACAGAUCCAUAUGACCGACCUCCACCAUAUGAUGGGGUGACCAUGGGCCCCUGGGAAGGGAAAUAUAUACUGCAAGAAUACCAUUGAGUGAAGCUGAGUUUGAGGAAAUCAUGAAUAGAAAUAGGGCAAUCUUAAGCAGUGCUAUUUCAAGAGCUGUGUCUGAUGCCAAUGCUGGUGAUUAUGGGAGUUCUAUUGAGACACUGGUAACCGUAAAUUCCUUAAUUAAACAAUCCAAAGUAUCUGCUGAUGAUCAUUACAACGUUCUUAUUAGCUCUUUGCAAGAUGGCCUUCAUGGAACUGAGUUCAAGUCAUAUGGUUCUGGAUCAAGAAGACAUGAGAGAUCAAGAAAGUGGGACAAUAGUAAAUCACAAGAAAAGAAACGGCGUCAUAAAUCCCGCAGUAGAGAUCGUCAUGACGAUUAUCAUAGAGCGAGAAGCAGAGAACGAGAGAGCACUGGAUCCUGCCCAAGACCGUGA